UUAUUGGAGAGUUUGAUCCUGGCUCAGGACGAACGCUGGCGGCGUGCCUAAUACAUGCAAGUCGAGCGAAUCACU
This 75-nucleotide ribosomal RNA is filed under the name Bacillus sp. FJAT-29953. RNAcentral's name for it is "partial 16S ribosomal RNA". It matches the Rfam family "Bacterial small subunit ribosomal RNA", at positions 1 to 75 of the family's 1533-position model. Lineage: Bacteria; Bacillati; Bacillota; Bacilli; Caryophanales; Bacillaceae. RNAcentral also lists the same sequence under 1 other name. The record is from RNAcentral.